Molecule: transfer RNA, 70 nt
Filed under: Gorgonocephalus chilensis
Lineage: Eukaryota; Metazoa; Echinodermata; Ophiuroidea; Euryalida; Gorgonocephalidae
Description: tRNA-Ala
Source: RNAcentral
AAUAAGAUUAGUUAAAAUUUAAUAACUUUAGAUUUGCGUUCUAAAAUUGGGAUUAUAUCUCCUCUUAUUA